Molecule: ribosomal RNA, 429 nt
Filed under: Chloroflexota bacterium
Lineage: Bacteria; Bacillati; Chloroflexota
Description: Chloroflexi bacterium partial 16S ribosomal RNA
Rfam family: Bacterial small subunit ribosomal RNA
Source: RNAcentral
UGGGGAAUAUUGCACAAUGGGCGCAAGCCUGAUGCAGCCAUGCCGCGUGUAUGAAGAAGGCCUUCGGGUUGUAAAGUACUUUCAGCGGGGAGGAAGGGAGUAAAGUUAAUACCUUUGCUCAUUGACGUUACCCGCAGAAGAAGCACCGGCUAACUCCGUGCCAGCAGCCGCGGUAAUACGGAGGGUGCAAGCGUUAAUCGGAAUUACUGGGCGUAAAGCGCACGCAGGCGGUUUGUUAAGUCAGAUGUGAAAUCCUCGGGCUCAACCUGGGAACUGCAUCUAAUACUGGCAAGCUUGAGUCUCGUAGAGGGGGGUAGGAUUCCAGGUGUAGCGGUGAAAUGCGUAGAGAUCUGGAGGAAUACCGGUGGCGAAGGCGGCCCCCUGGACGAAGACUGACGCUCAGGUGCGAAAGCGUGGGGAGCAAACAGG